GACGAACGCUGGCGGCGUGCCUAAUACAUGCAAGUCGAACGCUUUUUCUUUCACCGGAGCUUGCUCCACCGAAAGAAAAAGAGUGGCGAACGGGUGAGUAACACGUGGGUAACCUGCCCAUCAGAAGGGGAUAACACUUGGAAACAGGUGCUAAUACCGUAUAACACUAUUUUCCGCAUGGAAGAAAGUUGAAAGGCGCUUUUGCGUCACUGAUGGAUGGACCCGCGGUGCAUUAGCUAGUUGGUGAGGUAACGGCUCACCAAGGCAACGAUGCAUAGCCGACCUGAGAGGGUGAUCGGCCACACUGGGACUGAGACACGGCCCAGACUCCUACGGGAGGCAGCAGUAGGGAAUCUUCGGCAAUGGACGAAAGUCUGACCGAGCAACACCGCGUGAGUGAAGAAGGUUUUCGGAUCGUAAAACUCUGUUGUUAGAGAAGAACAAGGAUGAGAGUAAAACGUUCAUCCCUGGACGUAUCUAACCAGAAGCCC
Molecule: ribosomal RNA, 491 nt
Filed under: Enterococcus casseliflavus
Lineage: Bacteria; Bacillati; Bacillota; Bacilli; Lactobacillales; Enterococcaceae
Description: bacterial SSU rRNA
Rfam family: Bacterial small subunit ribosomal RNA
Source: RNAcentral